AUGCUUUCUCAAGCUGCUAGGCUUGAAUUGAUUCGUUUUGUUUUCUAUGCUAUUCCUGUUUAUUAUAUGACUAACAUUUUGUUCACUAAGAAGUUUAUUGCAAAACUUACUACUGUUAUUAGGAAUUUCUGGUGGACAGGUGUUAGGGAAAAGUAUUCCAGAAGAAGCCUUUGCCUUAGAGCAUGGAAAGACAUAUGCGAUUCUAAGAAAGAAGGUGGGCUGGGCAUAAGGAAUUUGCAUGUUAUUAAUGAGAGUCUCAUUAUUGCAACAGCUUGGAGAAUUGCUAAAUCACCUUCUUCUCAGCUGUACCUCAUUCUCAAAGCUAAAUACUUUCAUGACUCUUCUAUUUGGACAACAAUUUCUUCUCUGCCUAAAUCAGCUUUCUGGACUUCCGUUUUGAAAAUGCUUCCCAAGUUGAAAGAUCAUUAUUUUUAUCAAUUAACCCAAGGUAAUAUCUCUAUUUGGAGCACACCAUGGUGCAGUCUUUGGGCCUCUAUCCAUGAUCAUCUUAUUAUUCAAGAGCCUGGCUUCAUAUAUCCUUCUUUAGUUAGGGACCUUUGGCUUCCUGGUCAAAAAACUUGGAAUUCUGCUCUCGUUAAUUCUCUUUUUCAGCAUCCAUUGGCCUCUGUGAUUCUCCAAACGGUCAUUAUCUAUGAUGAUGGUCCAGAUCUUCUUUGUUGGGAUCUUUCUUCUAAUGGUAUUUGUUCUUCUAAAUCUGCUUAUAUGUUUUGUUUGCAAGAAAUUCAUGAAAAUCCCAUGAAUGCUCCUUCUUCAGUGUCUUUGGAGGUGAAGGAUUUUCUUAAAUUGAUCUAG
Molecule: ribosomal RNA, 813 nt
Filed under: Triticum aestivum (bread wheat)
Lineage: Eukaryota; Viridiplantae; Streptophyta; Magnoliopsida; Poales; Poaceae
Description: partial small subunit ribosomal RNA
Source: RNAcentral